CCGCGACAGGGAUAGUAGUGGAAAUCCUUUUGCUUGGGAAAUGCGUCAACGGAUGACAAAUCGUGAUAAGCAAAAGAUUGUAGCGGAUAGCCCGGUGACAA
Molecule: small RNA, 101 nt
Organism: Epilithonimonas sp.
Lineage: Bacteria; Pseudomonadati; Bacteroidota; Flavobacteriia; Flavobacteriales; Weeksellaceae
Rfam family: Flavo-1 RNA
Source: Rfam